This 497-nucleotide ribosomal RNA is filed under the name uncultured bacterium. Its description in RNAcentral is "partial 16S ribosomal RNA". It matches the Rfam family "Bacterial small subunit ribosomal RNA", at positions 28 to 507 of the family's 1533-position model. The record is from RNAcentral.
GAUGAACGCUGGCGGCGUGCCUAAUACAUGCAAGUCGAGCGAACAGACGAGGAGCUUGCUCCUCUGACGUUAGCGGCGGACGGGUGAGUAACACGUGGAUAACCUACCUAUAAGACUGGGAUAACUUCGGGAAACCGGAGCUAAUACCGGAUCAUAUAUUGAACCGCAUGGUUCAAUAGUGAAAGACGGUUUUGCUGUCACUUAUAGAUGGAUCCGCGCCGCAAUAGCUAGUUGGUAAGGUAACGGCUUACCAAGGCAACGAUGCGUAGCCGACCUGAGAGGGUGAUCGGCCACACUGGAACUGAGACACGGUCCAGACUCCUACGGGAGGCAGCAGUAGGGAAUCUUCCGCAAUGGGCGAAAGCCUGACGCAGCAACGCCGCGUGAGUGAUGAAGGUCUUCGGAUCGUAAAGCUCUGUUAUUAGGGAAGAACAAAUGUGUAAGUAACUAUGCACGUCUUGACGGUACCUAAUCAGAAAGCCACGGCUAACUACGUG